Molecule: ribosomal RNA, 484 nt
Filed under: uncultured bacterium
Lineage: Bacteria
Description: bacterial SSU rRNA
Rfam family: Bacterial small subunit ribosomal RNA
Source: RNAcentral
YUACGUGCCAGCAGCCGCGGUAAUACGGAGGAUGCGAGCGUUAUCCGGAUUUAUUGGGUUUAAAGGGUGCGUAGGCGGCCUGUUAAGUCAGCGGUGAAAUCUAGGAGCUUAACUCCUAAAUUGCCAUUGAUACUGGCGGGCUUGAGCGUAGAUGAGGUAGGCGGAAUGCGUGGUGUAGCGGUGGAAUGCAUAGAUAUCACGCAGAACUCCGAUUGCGAAGGCAGCUUACUAAGGUACAACUGACGCUGAAGCACGAAAGCGUGGGUAUCAAACAGGAUUAGAUACCCUGGUAGUCCACGCAGUAAACGAUGAUAACUGGGCGUAUGCGAUAUACAGUAUGCUCCUAAGCGAAAGCGUUAAGUUAUCCACCUGGGGAGUACGCCGGCAACGGUGAAACUCAAAGGAAUUGACGGGGGCCCGCACAAGCGGAGGAACAUGUGGUUUAAUUCGAUGAUACGCGAGGAACCUUACCCGGGAUUGAAAU